RNAcentral lists this ribosomal RNA (468 nucleotides) under uncultured bacterium. Its description in RNAcentral is "partial 16S ribosomal RNA". It matches the Rfam family "Bacterial small subunit ribosomal RNA", at positions 28 to 507 of the family's 1533-position model. The record is from RNAcentral.
GACGAGCGCUGGCGGCGUGCUUAACACAUGCAAGUCGAACGGAAAGGCCCUGCUUUUGUGGGGUGCUCGAGUGGCGAACGGGUGAGUAACACGUGAGUAACCUGCCCUUGACUUUGGGAUAACUUCAGGAAACUGGGGCUAAUACCGGAUAGGAGCUCCUGCUGCAUGGAGGGGGUUGGAAAGUUUCGGCGGUUGGGGAUGGACUCGCGGCUCAUCAGCUUGUUGGUGGGGGAGUGGCUUACCAAGGCUUUGACGGGUAGCCGGCCUGAGAGGGUGACCGGCCACAUUGGGACUGAGAUACGGCCCAGACUCCUACGGGAGGCAGCAGUGGGGAAUAUUGCACAAUGGGCGGAAGCCUGAUGCAGCAACGCCGCGUGCGGGAUGACGGCCUUCGGGUUGUAAACCGCUUUCGCCUGUGACGAAGCGUGAGUGACGGUAAUGGGUAAAGAAGCACCGGCUAACUACGUG